RNAcentral lists this transfer RNA (73 nucleotides) under Synechococcus phage S-CAM7. Lineage: Duplodnaviria; Heunggongvirae; Uroviricota; Caudoviricetes; Pantevenvirales; Kyanoviridae. The record is from Rfam by way of RNAcentral.
GCUCCUUUAGCUCUCUGGUGAAAGCACUCCGCUCAUAACGGAAGAAAGGUCAGUUCGAUCCUGACAAGGAGCA